GUAAGGGCACACGGCGGAUGCCUUGGCGCUUAGGGCCGACGAAGGGCGUGGUAAGCUGCGAAAAGCCUCGGGGAGCUGCAAACAAGCCUUGACCCGAGGAUACCCCAAUGGGGCAACCUGCCUGGGUUAAUCCCCAGGCAUCCAUACCUGAAUCCAUAGGGUAUGCGAAGGGCACCGGGGGAACUGAAACAUCUAAGUACCCCGAGGAAAAGAAAACAAAAGUGAUUCCCCCAGUAGCGGCGAGCGAAAGGGGAAGAGCCCAAACCCAGCAGAUGUAAAAGGCUGCAACCGUUGUUUGCUGGGGGUUGCGGGAACAGCCCGACCAGUUUGCAGGCUGGUCCUGGAGUAAAAAAAGGAAGACUUAGCCCAAGGGGUCUGGAAAGCCCCACCACAGAGGGUAAAAGUCCCGUAGGCGAAAAGACUUUCUCUCCAGGCUGUCAUCCCAAGUACUGCGGGUCACGCGAAACCCCGUAGGAAUCCGGGAGGACCACCUCCCAAGGCUAAACACCCUAAGCGACCGAUAGCGAACCAGUACCGUGAGGGAAAGGUGAAAAGCACCCCGGGAGGGGAGUGAAAAAGAACCUGAAACCGUGUGUCUACAAGCCGUAGGAGGACUUUACAUGUCCCACUGCGUGCCUAUUGGAGAAUGAACCGGCGAGUUAUGGUGUGCUGCCUGGUUAAGGUACAAAGUACCGGAGCCGUAGCGAAAGCGAGUCUUAACAGGGCGUUUAAGUAGCAUACCGUAGACCCGAAGCCGAGUGAGCUACCCAUGGCCAGGGUGAAGCGUACGUAAAAGUACGUGGAGGCCCGAACCCACCGGUGUUGCAAAACCGGGGGAUGAGCUGUGGGUAGGGGUGAAAAGCCAAUCGAACUCGGAGAUAGCUGGUUCUCCCCGAAAUAGCUUUAGGGCUAGCCUCACAGGAUGAGAUAUGGAGGUAGAGCACUGAUUGGGCUAGGGGCCCUGACAGGUUACCGCCCCCAUUCAAACUCCGAAUGCCAUAUACUUUACUGUGGGAGUCAGACUACGGGUGCAAAGAUUCGUGGUCAAAAGGGAAACAGCCCAGACCGCCAGCUAAGGUCCCCAAAUCCAGGCUAAGUGGAAAAGGAUGUGGGGUUGCAAAGACAACCAGGAUGUUGGCUUAGAAGCAGCCAUUCAUUCAAAGAGUGCGUAAUAGCUCACUGGUCAAGUGACCCCGCGCCGAAAAUGUCCGGGGCUCAAGCUUGGUACCGAAGCUGCGGCUUACUGGAGGUUAGAUGUUAGAGGUUAGAAGUUGGAGGGAGAGGCAAAAUGAUACAAAGCUAUCAUGACUUAGAGGUGUAUCAAAGGUCCUACAAACUAGCACUGGACAUACACCGCAUGUCAUUUGCCCUGCCAAAAGAAAUGCGCUACGAGCUUUCUAGUCAAAUAAGAAGAGCCGCCGUAAGCAUACCUUUAAACAUUGCCGAAGGAUAUGGAAGAAAAGACUCUGCCAAGGAAUUCAGGCAUUUUUUACGAAACAGCCUUGGUUCCACAAACGAAGUCCAGGUACUACUCGACAUGACAAAAGACCUUGAUUACAUUACAAAAGAAAUGCACAAGUCUUUUAAACAAGAAUACACCAUCCUUGGAAAACAGCUCAACAGGCUGAUACAAAGAUGGCGUAAAAUCUAAAAGUCCAACUUCCAACUUCCAACAUCCAACCUCCAGUAGGGGUAGGGGAGCGUUCCCACCGGGCCGAAGCCUGACUGCAAAGACAGGUGGACUAGUGGGAAGAGAGAAUGCCGGUAUGAGUAGCAAAAAGAGAGGUGAGAAUCCUCUCCGCCGAAAACCCCAGGAUUCCUGAGGAAGGCUCGUCCCCUCAGGGUAAGGCGGGACCUAAGCCCAGGCCUAAAGGCGUAGGCGAUGGACAGCCGGUUAAAAUUCCGGCCCCACCCAAUACCGCUUGAGAGAAGGGGUGACGCAGGAGGGUAGGCUGAGCGCACCGUUGGAAGAGUGCGUCCAAACCUGUAGGCGGGACCUUCAGGCAAAUCCGAAGGUCUGAUAACGCCAAGGGGUGAAGGGGAGCGAAAAUGUUCGCGAAGCAGCUGACCCCAUACUGCCAAGAAAAACCUCUAGCGAUGGUCCUUGGGUGCCCGUACCGCAAACCGACACAGGUAGGUAGGGAGAGAAUCCCGAGGCGUUCGGGAGAACCCUCGUUAAGGAACUCGGCAAACUGACCCCGUAACUUAGGGAUAAGGGGUGCCGCGUUAGGGUGACAUAAUUUACUUAUCAAGCCCGAGGCGGCCGCAGAGAAUUGGCCCAAGCGACUGUUUACCAAAAACACAGGUCACUGCUAAGAAGCAAUUCGACGUAUAGUGGCCGACGCCUGCCCGGUGCUGGAAGGUUAAGGGGAGGGGUGAGAGCCCAGAACCAAAGCCCCAGUAAACGGCGGCCGUAACUAUAACGGUCCUAAGGUAGCGAAAUUCCUUGUCGGGUAAGUUCCGACCCGCACGAAUGGCGUAACGACUUGGGCGCUGUCUCAACGAGGGACCCGGUGAAAUUGCAGUACCUGUAAAGAUGCAGGUUACCCGUGGCUGGACAGUAAGACCCCGUGGAGCUUUACUGCAGCUUGAUAUUGGAUUUUGGUACUACAUGUAUAGGAUAGGUGGGAGGCUGCGAAACCUUGGCGCCAGUUGAGGUGGAGCCAUCCUUGGAAUACCACUCUUGUAGUAUUAGGGUUCUAACCCGAGGCCGUCAUCCGGUCUGGGGACAGUGUCUGGUGGGCAGUUUGACUGGGGCGGUCGCCUCCCAAAGAGUAACGGAGGCGCCCCAAGGUUCCCUCAGCGCGGUUGGGAAUCGCGCAGAGAGUGUAAAGGCAAAAGGGAGCUUGACUGCGAGAGGGACACCUCGAGCAGGGACGAAAGUCGGGCUUAGCGAUCCGGCGGUUGCGUGUGGAAGUGCCGUCGCUCAACGGAUAAAAGCUACCCCGGGGAUAACAGGCUUAUCUCCCCCAAGAGUCCACAUCGACGGGGAGGUUUGGCACCUCGAUGUCGGCUCAUCGCAUCCUGGGGCGGAAGUUCGUCCCAAGGGUUGGGCUGUUCGCCCAUUAAAGCGGUACGUGAGCUGGGUUCAGAACGUCGUGAGACAGUUCGGUCCCUAUCCGCCACGGGCGCAGGAAACUUGAGAGGAGCUGCCCCUAGUACGAGAGGACCGGGGUGGACGGACCUCUGGUGUACCAGUUGUCCCGCCAGGGGCACAGCUGGGUAGCCACGUCCGGAAGGGAUAAACGCUGAAAGCAUCUAAGCGUGAAGCCCACCUCAAGAUGAGGUUUCCCACCCUGUGCCCAACUUAGGAAGCCAGUAUUUAUUGGCCGAAAGGCCAUAGGCCUUGAGGCCCUAAACCAUAUAAAA
This 3369-nucleotide ribosomal RNA is filed under the name metagenome. RNAcentral describes it as "bacterial LSU rRNA". It matches the Rfam family "Bacterial large subunit ribosomal RNA". The record is from RNAcentral.